This 397-nucleotide long non-coding RNA is filed under the name Homo sapiens (human). Its description in RNAcentral is "non-protein coding LINC01176:14". The record is from RNAcentral. Lineage: Eukaryota; Metazoa; Chordata; Mammalia; Primates; Hominidae.
UUGGGAUUGUGGCAAGGAGUUUCUGGUGAUGGCUGGUUAUGAAAACUUGAAGAAACAAAAUAAUGGCUUUUUUUAAGUGAAGAACUAAAAAAACAUUGAACUUCCAGGCCAGUUUUUGGAUAAAAGUCUAUAACCAGGGAGGGAAAUGGAAUACUGGAACAAAAAGCUGCCUGUGCUGAGACAGCAGUUGCUGAUACCACAAACACUUGUCUGCUGUUUCUGUGGCCUGGCUGAGCCAAGAAAACAUGUUAAAGCACAGAGCCCACGCAAGACAGUGUGCUUGCAGGAGACCCUACCAACAGGAAUCGGAUAACAAGGAGCUAAAGGUAAGGAGGAGUCAGAGCUGAACCCAGUGCCCUCUUCCCAGCAGUUGUAAUGAACUGUGGCUACCUUGGUG